AUACUUACCUAGCAGGGGAGAUACCAUGAUCACAAAGGUGGUUUUCCUAGGAUGAGGCUUAUCCAUUGCACUAUGGGUGUACUGAUCUCCUGUGAUUUCCCCAAAUGUGGGGAACUUAAUUGCAUAAUUUGUGGUAGUGGGGGACUGCGUUCAUGCUUUCCCCUA
Molecule: small nuclear RNA, 165 nt
Organism: Mauremys reevesii (Reeves's turtle)
Lineage: Eukaryota; Metazoa; Chordata; Testudines; Geoemydidae
Product: U1 spliceosomal RNA
Exons: 1
Source: RefSeq, a predicted model, not a curated record